CUUGUUUUAUGUACCUACGAAUUUAUUUUGAACAAAAUGCUUACAGUACGUUAUAAACUGAAUAUUUUAGAAAAAUGAUAUUUUUGGUCAUCACUUUUAAACUAAUAAUAAUGGCUUCGUCACAUGUCACCAUACACCCUAGAGGCGUGAACCUAGCCCUGGAGACCUCUUUUCUUUUCGAUUCAACGAACGACCGCCAACAUUUGCCAAUCCUAACUAAACUGAGAUCUGUUAUUGACACAUUGUAUAAAGCGCUCUCCCCACAAAUUUCCAUGAGAGCUAACGAUGUAAAUACUAAAAUAUUGACUGAUUUCUUGACGCAAAUGGGCAAUGUAAUAAUAAAAUAUGAAGAUGAAGAUUUAAUCAACAUUCUAGAAGUCGUAAAUGAAGAAUUGGAGGGCUAUUACGAAAAAAAGAAGACAAUGUACGAUCCAAUUUUGUUUAAUCCAAAACUCAGAAUGUAUUUCAAGAAUGUUAUCAAGCAAUUGAUGAAUGAGAAACCAUCGGAAUUAAGAGAAAGGUUGAAAAAGUUUGUAAAGGGUAUAAAAUCUAACGAAUUGUUGAUGGAAUUUGAUAAUCAUUUCGUUGGGGCAGAUGAGGAGGCUUUGAAAUUACUUGUGAACGAUUUUCAAGAGCAUACGCGAACUGGAAAUGUUUGGAAGUUGUCUAAUUUAGUCAAAGAUACAUUAAAAUACAUAGUUUUUGAUAAAUAUGAAAAACUGAACGACAAAUCGAGGGAAAAAAUUAAAAAUAUCGUUUACGAAGUUUAUGAAAAUGGUAAAAAUAAGGAUUUAACAACUGAUAAAGUGGAAGAGGUGUCAAAAGAUAAGAACAACGUUAGAAAAGAAAAGAUUAGACAUGAUGACAAUGAUGACGAGGACAAUGUAAAAGUAAAAAGUGAUGACAAUAAACUAUCAAAAAAUGAAACAGGCAAUGAAAUUAUAGGUGGAGCAGAAGAGAAAUCAACAGCAACAACGAAUUUAAUUUUCUAUUAACUUUAUUAAUAAAAAUCAUUUUAAUUUUAAAAACUAGGGUCUAGGACGUA
This is a long non-coding RNA of Ostrinia nubilalis (European corn borer), 1045 nucleotides long. RefSeq lists it as uncharacterized. Lineage: Eukaryota; Metazoa; Arthropoda; Insecta; Lepidoptera; Crambidae. The record is from RefSeq and is a predicted model, not a curated record. The transcript has 2 exons.